UGGGGAAUAUUGGACAAUGGGCGAAAGCCUGAUCCAGCCAUGCCGCGUGAGUGACGAAGGCCUUAGGGUUGUAAAACACUUUAGUUGGGGAGGAAAGGUAUGUACUGCAUAAGUGCAUGCUGUGACGUUACCCAAAGAAUAAGCACCGGCAAACUCUGUGCCAGCAGCCGCGGUAAUACAGAGGGUGCAAGCGUUAAUCGGACUUACUGGGCGUAAAGCGCGCGUAGGUGGUUAUGUAAGUUGGAUGUGAAAUCCCCGGGCUCAACCUGGGAACUGCAUCCAAAACUGCAUAGCUAGAGUACGGUAGAGGGUGGUGGAAUUUCCUGUGUAGCGGUGAAAUGCGUAGAUAUAGGAAGGAACACCAGUGGCGAAGGCGACCACCUGGACUGAUACUGACACUGAGGUGCGAAAGCGUGGGGAGCAAACAGGAUUAGAUACCCUAGUAGUCCCUGAGCGGGCUGGCAAGGCGCAU
This 472-nucleotide ribosomal RNA is filed under the name uncultured bacterium. RNAcentral's name for it is "bacterial SSU rRNA". It matches the Rfam family "Bacterial small subunit ribosomal RNA", at positions 355 to 825 of the family's 1533-position model. The record is from RNAcentral.